RNAcentral lists this ribosomal RNA (253 nucleotides) under uncultured bacterium. RNAcentral describes it as "partial 16S ribosomal RNA". It matches the Rfam family "Bacterial small subunit ribosomal RNA", at positions 524 to 776 of the family's 1533-position model. The record is from RNAcentral.
UACGUAGGGGGCGAGCGUUGUCCGGAGUUACUGGGCGUAAAGCGCACGCAGGCGGUCUGUUAAGUUUGGAGUGACAGUUGGUGGCUUAACUGCCAAAGUGCUUCGAAAACUGACAGACUUGAGGGCUUCAGAGGGACACGGAAUUCCGGGUGGAGUGGUGAGAUGCGUAGAGAUCCGGAGGAACACCAAAGGCGAAGGCAGUGUCCUGGGGAGUACCUGACGCUCAGGUGCGAAAGCCAGGGGAGCGAACGGG